ACCUGCCCUAGGGGAGGGGAUAACCCCGGGAAACUGGGGAUAAUACCCUAUAGGUUACAGAUGCUGGAAUGCCCUGUAACCAAAAGCUCCGGCGCCCUAGGAUGGAUCUGCGGCCGAUUAGGUUGUUGUUGGGGUAACGGCCCAACAAGCCCGUAAUCGGUACGGGUUGUGGGAGCAAGAGCCCGGAGUUGGAUUCUGAGACACGAAUCCAGGCCCUACGGGGCGCAGCAGGCGCGAUACCUUUACAAUGCGGGCAACCGUGAUAAGGGAACCUCGAGUGCCUGUAAACGCAGGCUGUUCAGGUGUUUAAAACGCACCUGGAGAAAGGGCCGGGCAAGACCGGUGCCAGCCGCCGCGGUAAUACCGGCGGCUCGAGUGGUGGCCGCUUUUAUUGGGCUUAAAGCGUUCGUAGCUGGGUUGUUAAGUCUCUUGGGAAAUCUGGCGGCUUAACCGUCAGGCGUCUAAGGGAUACUGCCAAUCUUGGAACCGGGAGAGGUGAGGGGUACUUCGGGGGUAGGGGUGAAAUCCUGUAAUCCUCGAGGGACCACCUGUGACGAAGGCGCCUCACCAGAACGGCUUCGACAGUGAGGGACGAAAGCUGGGGGAGCAAACCGGAUUAGAUACCCGGGUAGUCCCAGCCGUAAACGAUGCGCGUUAGGUGUAUCGGUGACCACGAGUUACCGAGGUGCCGAAGGGAAACCGUGAAACGCGCCGCCUGGGAAGUACGGUCGCAAGGCUGAAGCUUAAAGGAAUUGGCGGGGGAGCACA
RNAcentral lists this ribosomal RNA (768 nucleotides) under uncultured archaeon. RNAcentral's name for it is "bacterial SSU rRNA". It matches the Rfam family "Archaeal small subunit ribosomal RNA", at positions 107 to 880 of the family's 1478-position model. The record is from RNAcentral.